Molecule: ribosomal RNA, 431 nt
Filed under: uncultured fungus
Lineage: Eukaryota; Fungi
Description: eukaryotic LSU rRNA
Rfam family: Eukaryotic large subunit ribosomal RNA
Source: RNAcentral
GACCUCGGAUCAGGUAGGAAUACCCGCUGAACUUAAGCAUAUCAAUAAGCGGAGGAAAAGAAACCAACAGGGAUUGCCUCAGUAACGGCGAGUGAAGCGGCAAAAGCUCAAAUUUGAAAUCUGACCCUUCGGAUCCGAGUUGUAAUUUGCAGAGGAUGUUUCGGGUAAGAUUUAGGUCUAAGUUCCUUGGAACAGGACGUCAUAGAGGGUGAGAAUCCCGUACGUGACCGUUGAUCGCACCCAUGUGAAACUCCUUCGACGAGUCGAGUUGUUUGGGAAUGCAGCUCAAAAUGGGUGGUAAAUUUCAUCUAAAGCUAAAUAUUGGCCAGAGACCGAUAGCGCACAAGUAGAGUGAUCGAAAGAUGAAAAGCACUUUGAAAAGAGAGUUAAACAGUAUGUGAAAUUGUUGAAAGGGAAGCGCUUGCAACCAG